RNAcentral lists this ribosomal RNA (393 nucleotides) under Triticum aestivum (bread wheat). Its description in RNAcentral is "partial small subunit ribosomal RNA". Lineage: Eukaryota; Viridiplantae; Streptophyta; Magnoliopsida; Poales; Poaceae. The record is from RNAcentral.
AUGAGGAAGUCCAAGGCGGCUGCGGCGGCGGCGAAGCAGCCGCACCACGCGGCGCAGAACGGCCACGCCCUCCCCUCCAGGCUCGCCCGGUACCUCGACCCCGACGCGUCCUUGGACAAGGACCAGCUGCUGGACGCGGUGCACUGGAUCCGGCAGGCGGUGGGGCUCGCCUGCGGCUUGCUCUGGGGCGCCGUCCCCCUCGUCGGCGUCUUCUGGAUCGCCCUAUUCUUUACAAUUUCCACCGUCAUAGUUCAUUUGUACUAUGCGCAUUUGCUGAAGAUUGAUGAGGAAGACUUUGGAGGCCAUGCCGCCCUACUUCAGGAGGGGCUCUUUGCUUCGUUCACCCUUUUCCUUCUUUCAUGGACUCUAGUAUACAGCUUGGCUCACUUCUGA